RNAcentral lists this long non-coding RNA (381 nucleotides) under Setaria viridis. Its description in RNAcentral is "long non-coding RNA (SVIR_LNC008962)". Lineage: Eukaryota; Viridiplantae; Streptophyta; Magnoliopsida; Poales; Poaceae. The record is from RNAcentral.
UCCACCAAGAUGAGCUAUUUAUGAGCUUUCUUCUUGCUGUUAGAGUUGCUUCCACAUAUUUUGGUGACCAAUUCUUUUCUUAAGCUCCACCAUCACCUUUUUCUCAAAGAUUUAGCUCAAGUACCUGAAGUUGCUCCAAAUCUUGUUGGUUGUCCUCUAGAAAAUGGGGAAUACCUUUGUGUACAUUACAUCCAAUGAGCAAAGCAUUGACAUUCAAAUAACUAGAUUGAUAUGGGAGGACCCUCUCCUUCCUUAAACAAUGAUCUCGAUCCUCCCACCUAUUAUAUAUGAAUGUAAUAUAACUCUUGCAAGGUUUACUGCAAGUGGCUACUGAAAUGUGCUACAGUGCUCAACUCUUCUUGUACAUGAAGUCCCGAUUCC